This 658-nucleotide long non-coding RNA is filed under the name Mytilus galloprovincialis (Mediterranean mussel). The record is from RNAcentral. Lineage: Eukaryota; Metazoa; Mollusca; Bivalvia; Mytilida; Mytilidae.
UCCCUGUUCACCAAAUAAAUAAUUGAAUAAUUAGAUUUGGUAUAUGUAUGUGUGCCAAUUAAUGAGACAAUUCUCCAUCCAAGUCAUAAUCAGGUUGGGAACAACCCCUCAAUUUUACAAAUAUACUUUUUAUGAGGGGUCAAUAUAAGUUACAAUAUAUUUUUUGUAAAUAAAACUUUUUAGUACAAAAGAGCUCAUAUUUUCCCAAAGAACUAUAUAUCUAUCUGGUAUUAAAUGGUCAAAACAUGCCCAAGAAUUUUGUAAUAUUCCUGGACUUAGGCCAUGUUAACACAUUUACUUUAAUAUUAUUCAAAACAAAUAAUAUCAUAAAUAAUUCUCUUUAAGAAUAUAGUAAUGUUGUUUAAAAUUAUUUAAAUAUGAUGUAUUUCUCCUCUCUUUUAGUUAUUUUUUUUUAAGUUCUUCAAAGGAUUUGUAUAGUAACACUAUGCAAAUCCUUGGUAUUUCUUCAAGUUUCUUUUUUACAACAGUAAAAUGACCCCAUAUGUGCCCUUCUGAGGGAUAAUAGCAAAUACAGAUCAUAGUACGUACGGCAGAGCUUUGACCCAGACCAAACAGCAAGCUAUAAGGGACCCCAAAAUUAUAAGUGUACACAAUUCGAACAGGAAAACCAACGAUCUAAUUUAUAUAUAUACAAACG